This 616-nucleotide ribosomal RNA is filed under the name uncultured Legionella sp. RNAcentral describes it as "bacterial SSU rRNA". It matches the Rfam family "Bacterial small subunit ribosomal RNA", at positions 242 to 849 of the family's 1533-position model. The record is from RNAcentral. Lineage: Bacteria; Pseudomonadati; Pseudomonadota; Gammaproteobacteria; Legionellales; Legionellaceae.
UAGCUAGUUGGUAGGGUAAGGGCCUACCAAGGCGACGAUCGGUAGCUGGUCUGAGAGGAUGGCCAGCCACACUGGAACUGAGACACGGUCCAGACUCCUACGGGAGGCAGCAGUGGGGAAUAUUGGACAAUGGAGGCAACCCUGAUCCAGCAAUGCCGCGUGUGUGAAGAAGGCCUGAGGGUUGUAAAGCACUUUCAGUAGGGAGGAGGGUUGAUUGGUUAAGAGCUGAUUGACUGGACGUUACCUACAGAAGAAGCACCGGCUAACUCCGUGCCAGCAGCCGCGGUAAUACGGAGGGUGCGAGCGUUAAUCGGAAUUACUGGGCGUAAAGCGUGCGUAGGUGGUUGAAUAAGUUAUCUGUGAAAUCCCUGGGCUUAACCUGGGCAGGUCAGAUGAUACUGUUUGACUCGAGUAUGGGAGAGGGUAGUGGAAUUUCCGGUGUAGCGGUGAAAUGCGUAGAGAUCGGAAGGAACACCAGUGGCGAAGGCGGCUACCUGGCCUAAUACUGACACUGAGGCACGAAAGCGUGGGGAGCAAACAGGAUUAGAUACCCUGGUAGUCCACGCUGUAAACGAUGUCAACUAGCUGUUGGUUAUAUGAAAAUAAUUAGUGGCGC